AGGGAAAGUGAAGGGGCUAAAAGAAGGAAAUGUGACAAAGCAGGAGAAGGAGGCAGAGAAAAGGGUGGGCGUGGGAGAUAUAACGGUAAGAGAAGAAUAUUCGGGAGGUCAGUUCUGGAAUAUCCGUUUGUUUAGAAAGGGUAUAUCUCUGGUUUUAUUCCAUUUUGAGAGAUUAGAUAUUAUAUUUUAUUGCGGCUUUUGUUUAUUUUAUUUUAUUUUAUCUUUUUAAAUAUCUCUCUUCUGCCCUUUUUUAAUUUGACACGUGGCAAAUUUCUCACUUUUGUAGCGGCUCGAGAGUGUCUAUUUCGUUCGUCUUGUCUAUAACCGCGGGAAGAUGGCGCAUGAGAUGAGCCAAAUAAUUAUUUAGUUUCAAGUAAGUGCAAAAUAGCUAUAGCUAGAUGCUAAUCUCACGGCACUGUGAUGCAUGAUAAAUGACUUGGCUUCACUGAGUAUGGUUUCAACUCCCAUGUCAUAUGCAGUUAGAACGACAACUAACUUAACUACACAACCACCAAUAUGACUUUAGACACAUAGUGAAGGUGACUGAACACGGAGAAUCUGGUUGUAAAUUGUACGCUAGCUGGCAAUAUUAUUUCACCAAGUUGGUAAUUUAAAAUUUAUUUAGUAAAUUUAGUAUAUUCUUUUCGAUUUCACUUAAUAAGGAAUUUAGUUGCAACCAAAUAAGUGAGAGAUUUAUUUAUAUUGUUGUAUAUAGGAGUGGGUAUAAACCCAUAACCCAUGGGUUUACCCAAACCCAAAUCAAAUUAAAUAGUUUCGGUUGAGUAAAUCAUGAAAAUGUGUUAGAUGUGGGUUUUAUAUAGAAAAUCAUUUCAUUAUGGGUUGGGUAUGGUUUACCCAUGGGUCAUGGACAAAACCUCAACACUCAAAUUUUUCAAAUGAAAUAAAUGAAAACAAAAUAAAUGAACACAAAUAAGUGAAAGGCCACCAUUAAAUUUUUUACGGCGUGAUCAAUUAUCAACAGUUAAAAAAUGAAAAUAACAGUAAAAAAAAUUUAAAUUGAAUAAAUAUUGUUGUAAAUAACAUAAUUUUUUUUCUUAUUUACAAAAAUAAUUCCUCCCACAUGAAAUGAUUAUCAUAGAAAGAGCAUGAGACUCUACUAGUGAUCAAUAAUAACUCGGCUUGGACUGCGUCCGAUAUGCUAGAUGGCGGCUAAUUUUUGGUCAAUAAUUGAAUGUAAUGCCCAUACUAGGCCCUGUACAAAACUUUGCUUAUCAUAUAAUGAAAUUAGAACAUAAAGCACACACACUAUAUAAUAUCAGAAUGUAAAUAAAAUUAAAGGGGAUUGCCACUUUCCCCCUUACAAUAAUUAACAUAUACCAUUUACUCCAUUUCUGUUUUUAAAUGGCCAAAAAUCUCCCUGACAACAUAAGUUUACAAUAUUACCAUUAUUUUUAACUACUCUUUUAUUUACAUUUAUUAUAAAAAACCCAAAUGAUUUGGUUUGGGUUGGGUUAAAAAUAUUUGGGUUAGUUUGGGUUGGAUUCAAAUUUUUAUGAUUUGGUUUGGGAUGACUUAAAAUCCAACCCAAACCAACUCAUGUCCACCCCUAGUUGUAUAUUAACUAUAAUAUAGACAUUUAAAGUUUUAUUUUGAUUAAGAUUUUCUCCUUUUUUUUCUUCUUAUAAUAUUUUUAAUAUUGUAGGAUUACGAUAAUAAAAUCUGUCAAAUCUAUCUCAAAAUAUUCUAAGAAGAAUUUUUCAUAAUAAUGCACAUAACUCAGGACCCUUUCCAGAUAUAUGAAAAAUGAGGUGGAAAUCAAUUAGUGGUUGGUUUGUUGUAUUCACUAAUAUAUAGACGUUUGAAAAGUCCAUAGAUAUUUAUUGAUAAUAUCAUGUUAAAUUGUAAAUGAUUUCUUUAAACAAUAUUUGAAUGUAAUGUAAUUUUUGUUUGUUGUAUCUAUGCAUCAACGUGAACUGAUUGUAUUAAAUUAUUAUAGUGCCCCCAAAAGUAUCUUCUAAAAAUAACACCGUAACAAAAUGUUAUAAAAACUAUAAUGUUAUAAAAAAAUUUACUAAAGUUUAAAUUUGUUAAAUUCUAUCCUAACAAAUAAAUUUAAUUUUUUUUUAAUUUCACCCUAACAAAAUGGCCAUCUAAAUAAUUUGUGUUUACUUUUGUUUAUUAUUUUAUAAGGGUAAUGAAUUUUUUAUAAUGAAUGGCUGAUAUAAAUUAUAUAUAUUAAGGGUGUAAAAUCAAAUAAAUUUAAAUUUUUAUAAUAUUUUAAAAUUUUAAUAAUAAGAUAAACUUUAAAUGAACAACCAAUAAUUUUAAUAGGUAAUAUUGAACUUCUCUUUUUGUCUUUACUGCUGUCUAUUGGAGGUUUAUAUGCUGAAGCUAUGGCCCGCAGCCUGGAGCCAGAGCCACAGAUGGUGUUGAAACGAAGCCGAGCCAAGCAAUUAUUGGCUUUUGGCUUUGCGCAUUUAUGACGCAUGGUAUAAUUCUGAAAGGCUUGCGGAAUAUCCAUGCCUCUGUCACCUUCAAAAAUCAAAACCACAAGCGUGGUGGAUUGCGGUGGUGGGCCUUCGAUCUUCACAUCCAGCUUGUCAUAAAACGACAGCGCAACGUCGCAAGAACUGGGGAAAAGUCAAAUCAAAGGGAUAAAUUUGGAACUGAUGAUAGCCCGCAAUGACCUGGGCUCUCCCCGCGUAACAUGUAGUCACGAACGUUGGAGCUUGAAGGCUAUAUUAGUAAUUUCAGGUGGGGAAAUUUGUCAUUUUCAUAGACGAUUCGGAUCCGUGAGAGGGGGGAUAUUCUUGAAACUGAACCUGGAAUCUACUCUCUGCAUCAUCGGUAAAAAAAAGAAAAAAAAUGGUCCCUCAAUUUUCCAACUCUUCUUUUAUUUAUUUAUUUAUUUUUAUUUAAAAGGAUUUCCCAUUUUAGAGUAUUAUUAUCCCAUCAUUCCUU
This 2922-nucleotide long non-coding RNA is filed under the name Citrus sinensis (sweet orange). RNAcentral describes it as "long non-coding RNA (CSIN_LNC001813)". The record is from RNAcentral. Lineage: Eukaryota; Viridiplantae; Streptophyta; Magnoliopsida; Sapindales; Rutaceae.